RNAcentral lists this ribosomal RNA (253 nucleotides) under uncultured bacterium. RNAcentral's name for it is "partial 16S ribosomal RNA". It matches the Rfam family "Bacterial small subunit ribosomal RNA", at positions 524 to 776 of the family's 1533-position model. The record is from RNAcentral.
UACGUAGGUGGCAAGCGUUGUCCGGAAUUACUGGGCGUAAAGCGCGUGUAGGCGGGAGGCCAAGUCUGCUGUGAAAUCGCCCGGCUCAACUGGGCGGGGUCGGUGGAAACUGGUCACCUGGAGGACGGUAGAGGCGAGUGGAAUUCCCGGUGUAGUGGUGAAAUGCGUAGAGAUCGGGAGGAACACCAGUGGCGAAGGCGGCUCGCUGGGCCGGACCUGACGCUGAGACGCGAAGGCGUGGGGAGCGAACGGG